AGACAGUGGGUUGAAGCACCUUGAGGUCAUCCAUGAGCAGCCUGAUAUCUCCUUGGAAAAAUCCGAUUUUAGCUCCAUGACACAGCAUUACACACUAUAGGGGUAAUGGAAAAAACAAACAUUUUAUCACCACAGCAGGGGUUACACAACAUAUGGACAACAUCCAACAUUUCAGUUUUAGCAUUUCAGGCCAGUUUCCAGAAAUCUUAAAUUUCCUAAAUAUAGGUAACUUAAAAAAAAUGUGCAUUUACUAGUCAUUGUACAACAUGGAAAUGUGGUAUUUCUCUUGGUUAUCCUGAAGAUAUGGGACUCAGUAAAAAACCAGGCUAUGUUGUUUUUAGUGAUGACCACAGAGGUUCUACUCUUUUAGUGCGGUGGUAAGUAUCUGUUCAAUGAAUGACAUGGUAUUACAUAUUCUAAAUAUUUUUAGUGGCUGGGCGCGGUGGCUUACACCUAUAAUCCCAGCACUUUGGGAGGCCGAGGCAGGUGGAUCACUUGAGGUCAGGAGUUCCAGUCGAGCCUGGCCACGUUACGGUGAAACCCCAUCUCUACUAAAACAAAAAUUAGCCGGGCUUGGUGGCGGGUGCCCAUAGUCCCAGCGACUCAGGAGGCUGAGGCUGGAGAAUCGCUUGAACCCAGGAGGCGGAGAUUGCAGUGGGCUGAGAUUGUGCCACUGCUCUCCAGCCUGGGCCACGGAGGGAGACUCUGUCUCAAAUAUAUAUAUAUAUAUAUAUAUAUAGCCUUCCAGAAACUUUACAUUUAAUUUAUUCUCAAAAUAAAAACUUAACUUCUUGCCUAGAGUCCAAGUUUGUUAAAGUCUCACUUUCUUUUGUUUGAAUCUAACUAGAAGUUUCUGAAAGGCCACCAAGUAUGAUGAAUUUGUGACACCAGGGUAUCUAAUACCAGAGUGGCUUGCCAUUCAGCUAGAAUACACUGCAUGAUUUUUUUCCUGUCUAGUACAAACCAUGCUGGCAAGCCAUAUGGACCUGACAGUUUGCCUAUUUUAAAAUUUAAAAAGAAAAGAUUCAAAAGAUGACACAAGGGAAGUACAAAUGUUCUCUGUCUUAGAAGCAGAAACCACGAGAAAGGUACACCAUGGUUCACUGUUUAACAAUUACAGCUCAGAAAGCUUUUGUUCAGCGUGGCCUGCCUUCUAGGCACACCUCUAAAACUCGUUAGGUACAGCAACUCAUGUGAGAUUGCUUUAUAAACCCAGAAGACUCUGAGGUGUGCAGGAAGUAGAAGGAACAGAUGGCAGAUGGGAUCUAAUCGCCUUCGAUCCUUUGGGAUGAGCAAAUCCGACAGGGCAGCUGUCAUCCAAAGCAUCGGCUGAUAGUCACCUCUGUCUCCAACACAGCAGAGGGCACACAGCUAGAGCUCAGUAACUACUCACUAAAUGAAUGAAUGGUGCUCAUUGUUUUUUCCUACAGCAUAAAAUCCAAAAUUGUCAAAGAAGGAAAAAAGGUGGUUCUUGGUCAGUUUUAAAAUUAGUCACACAGUUGAUUACAGGGAGCCUAGGCAAAGGUCAACUCAAGGAUCAUCCUCUUUCUCCAAGGGCACUUAGAAUAUUGCUGAAAAAAUUAGUCGCAAGCCAACUUGUGCAUUAGGAACAAGCACAAUCAAAAAUAGAGACUUCUCACAGAACGGAAGCCUCGCUGGGCUUUGUAGAACUGAAUUAAUAAUGACUUUACCUUUAUAGUUGGUUUUUCUGGACUCAUGUCCACAUUAGUAUCCUUCAAAAGUCUGAACUCCUAAUUUUAAAAUGAGUGAUUAAAUUCCAGUAUCCUGUUCAUACUCAGAAAAAGAAUUUAUAUUCUUUCAAAUAAUCUGCACCAUUUCUAAAACGGGGCUGAGCAGAGAAUUCUCUAUAGGGAUGACAGUCCGCACGCCACACUUACCUUCAAUAACUGUUCAUAAAUGUGAGCAAGUGGUAAAUAUGAAAUGUGUGUGUCACUGGCACUCAAGGGAAGUGCUUUCUGUAAAACACAACAACUUAGCAGAACAUACACAAACAAGCAAGGAAAACAAAAUUAAAUGCCUACCUCUACAACUCUCUCAAACAUAUGGGCGAGAGGCAAGAAAGAUAUCAAAGUAUCAUCUGGGCAAGGAUUGACUGUAUUCUGUAAGCAAAGACACCAGCAAGGCAGAAAAGCAUUAAGACUCCCAGUGAAGGGGAACAUCGCACACCAGGGACGGUUGUGGGGUAGGGGGAGGGGGGAGGGAUAGCAUUAGGAGAUAUACCUAAUGCUAAAUGACAAGUUUAUGGGUGCAGCACACCAGCAUGGCACAUGUACACAUAUGUAACACACCUGCACGUUGUGCACAUGCACCCUAAAACUUAAAGUAUAAUAAUAAUAAAAUUAAAAAAAAAAGACUCCGAGUAAACUUCCAUUUUAUUUCUGAGCACAUAGUACCUCAACACUGAGGAGAAACGGCUUUUGCUUAUGGUCUGCAAUUUCUUCUCACCAAAGAAUAAAAUGAAAAACAAGGGGCAUGGUGGCUCACGCCUGUAAUCCCAGCACUUUGGGAGGCCAAGGCAGGCAGAUCACUUGAGGUCAGGAGUUCAAGACCAGCCUGGCCAACAUGGUAAAACCCCAUCCCUACUAAAAAUACAAAAAUUAGCCAGACAUGGUGGCACAUGCCUGUAAUUCCAGCUACUCAGGAGGCUGAGGCAGCAGAAUUGCUUGAAUCAGGGAGGCGGAGGCUGCAGUAAGCCGAGAUUGCACCACUGCACUCCAGCCUGGGCAACAGAGUGAGACUCUGAAUCAAAAAAAAAAGCAAUACUUUAAUUAUUCAAACAAAGUGGAAGUCACUCCCCAUGACAAAGUAAAUCCACUUCAGGGCUUUAAUCAAAACAAGGAAAAUUUUGCUCAAAUUGGAAGGUUAAGGGAUUAUAUGCUCUAAUCAGUUAGUAUUUCAUCACUACAGUAUCCUAGUACCCAGCAAGUUCAAUUUUACCUUAAGAAAUACAGGACCCAUUUCAACAUAAAAUUGCAUUUUAUGUUGUUAAGGGAAAGGAGGAAAGAAGAUAAAAGAAGGUGGAUUUCCAAGGUCCUUAGAGUAUUUUGAGUUUGAUCAAUAUUUUUAAUACCUUAAAGCCCUACUUUACAUAUCACAAUUUGUUUAAUGCAACCUCAGAUCUGGCACCCAGGAAUUUGCUCUCCUAUAAAAUGCUGAUCAUGAUGGGUCCACAGACAGAUUAAGUUUGGACAUCUGGUUUCCCUCAGAAUGGGCCUUACUUAGGGCAGGCACAGUGAGGGUUUGUAUAGAAUAUUCAUGUUAUUAACAUAAAGAAUUCUGGCCAAAACAGGGGGUGUGCAAGAGCAGCUGCUGUCAUACCAACUAAGAAAUGAGGGCAUUGUCGUUACCUAGGGGAUGAUAUACCAAGUUCUGAGCCAUGCCCCUUCCUUUCCUAAAGCUGGGUCACCCUUAAUAAUAAUGUGACAAUGGAUGAAAGCAUCAAUCCUGAGCAAACACAGCAGCCCCAGAAGCACUGGAUGUGGGCUGAGCAUGCUAUAAUCUCAGCUGGAUUUUAUUCAAGUCUGACAGGCAUCCCAAGUAGUACUUCUCAGGAUGAAAUUGUUAUAUUAAUAUAAUGAGAAAUCGGACUCCAUUCUAUCUAUACUUUUCAACUUUCUGACUCAGAACAAAAAUAUUGUCCAUUAUCAUGAUUAGACAUCUUACAAAGCUGAGAAGAUACUGAUAUUGUAAUUGAUUUGAUAUUGUAACUGACUUUAAACAAAGUUCUGUAAUCAUUUGCCUCAAUGAGCCACCAAUGCAUUUUAAGUUUUGUUUGAAGGCCAAUUAGGAAAUUAAAAUUUCACUUUGGUAAGGUACUAAAUGUUGAACUCUGUUUAGAAAGUAUACAUCUUUAAAAAGGGCAUUUGGAAAGUGUGAGCCAAGUAAAGUAAGUGGCAAGAUCCCUCAAAGAUCAGUUUUCUGCAGCCACCAAACAUGUCCAUUCCCCAAAGCCAUUAAGCUCAGGCUCCUGCUACAAAAAUCAGAGCUACAGAAUACUUCCAAAGAGACUGCAAAAGCCAAUUAUGUUAAAUGUAAAAAAGAGUAUAAGGAAAAGGCAUAUGGUUCAAUAAGCACCUUUUUAAAAGGCAAGUUUGGAAUAGGCUGUUGGUGUUAUGGACUGAAUCACAUCACCCCCUUCUAAAUUCGUAUGUCAACAUCCUAACUCCCAAUGUAGAUGGGGCCCUGCUGUGACUGGAUAGACUAAGACACUGGAUAGUAAACUUUAAAAGCAUGGGAAAUUAGCUGAAGUGCAAGGCUUUACUACUUCUAGUGCAAUGGAAGUCACACUGACCACAACAGAUAAUAAUCAUUCAAAAACUUUUAACAUAUCAUUGCCAAUUUAAAAUAAAUUAUUUCCCAAAUACAGGGACGCUGGAUAAAAACACAAGAGAGUCCAUCUCUUCUCUGUCCUUUCUUGGACAUGUUUCUAGGGCAAUAUCCAAAUAGAGUUUCUCUAUAUAAAUGUUGCAGUGAACUUCAUCUGUCAAUUCACCUUAAUUAUCAUAAGGCAAGGGUUGGCGAUUAGGUUCAAAGUGAAAAAAGAGAGAAGGUGGACUUGGGCCUAAAGUUCUGACCUUACCCAUAUGUCACAUCGUUUCUAAAUGCCACAUGGACCUAACACACUGGUGCCCACCUUCAGCACUUUCAUUCUCAAGGACUAAUGUCAAUCAAUGAGGAAAGAUGACGACAUCCCAAAAAGUUACCUCUGUUGCUUUCACAAAAGCUGAACAAUCGCUCACUAUGUUUCGGUGAGUGACCAUUGCUCCUUUGGGGUUGCCUGUGGAGCACAUAUGAAGCAGAACAAAGUUAAAGAAUGACAGAAAUGAAGGAGGCCCAGAAACCUCACAUAAUUAGGGCUUCAGACACCUCUACUGUUAGAUAUAUCGUGAAAACCAAAUGUUGAACACUAAAUUCCUAAGCAACCUGCAAUCCUUACACUGACUUAUCUUUAAAAACCUUUAUUAAUAUGGGCACAUUUUAAAGGGUAUAUACGUAGUCAUAAGAGAAGAAAAACCAGAAAUUUUCUUCCUGGGAGCCACCGAUAUAGUCUGUCCUAGGAAGACAGGUGAAUCUAAUAUCACCCUCAAUAAAUGUUUGAGGAAUUAUCCGGCACUCUUGGACUCUGAGAAGAUCUUACAGAGCAACAAGAAGACAGCACUUGAACCGCUUCCUUCUCUUCUGCUUUUGGUCCGUCUACUGUUAGCUGAUAAGUCAUCCAAAAGAGGUAGGGGAGAGUCCAGACCAAUGGCUGCCAUAUGUAGAAGCAAUUCUAUCUCAAAACUCACCUGUAGUUCCACUUGUGAAACAAAUUACUGCAAGAUCUUCAGGUGCUGGAGGCUAAAGAUUAAAAAAAAAAAAAGCUGGUAUAAAUCAGAACAGAAAAGAGAACUAUAAGCCACAAGGUACCAGGCUAGAUAUUGAAAACUACAAAGAGGACAGAGCAGGGUCUGACACGGUGUGCUUACCUUGGGCUUCCGUCUGUUGGCUCUUCCCAGGUCCUUAAUUAGAAGAGAAAAAAAGUCUUAAAUGGAAACGUUUUCUAACUGUAAAGGAUAAGGUCACAUCGAGUCACUUAAAGCUGGCUUUACUGUGGGGUUCAUUCACACCUGGCUCGAAAACAGCAUAAUUUUCUAAUUAAAGAAACUAUGGCAGUUUUAAUUAACCAGAACCAAAAUAUUUAUUCAUUGUUCUGAGAAGCCAUUUUCCAGUUACCUCUUCUCUUACAUAAAACUACAUAAACGGUAUUAGGACUGGUCUUUGAAAUAGGAUGUAUUAAAAAAACAGCAGCCAAAGUCUUUACCAUGCAUUUCUGGUCCCCACUUCCACUUCUUAUUAGGGCCUUUAAUAAAGCCCUGUUCUUAACCAUAACGAGAUACUGCAGAUACUUCGUAGGUUCCUCAAAUCAGAGCACAGCACUACCUCACCCCCACAUUCUGCACAACUGACAUCUGCAAUCUGGGAAGAAGAAAAAUCAAUCUCUGCUCGAUUGAAAUGCUAGGCAUUUUGGAGAGGCUCAAAUAUCUGCUCAAAUAUCUCCCCUCGUAGAGUGGAGAUAGGAUUUGGGAGCCCCCAAUUAUAAAACAGGCCACAGCAGACCCUCUAAGACUCCUUCCUGAAUGGACUUGAAGGUUAAGAAUGACAGAAGCAUUGCGCGGGGACAGCAUUUCCCAGCGGCAGGCUUCCAGUCACUACCACUGAUGGGGUUCGGUUUACUGCAUUAGGGCAGUCUUGGUGGCCACUUUAAUAUCUAUUAAUUUUAACAAAUGAACUAUUUAUAUUCUUUUCCUAUUCAAAUGGAACAGCUUGAAUGAGGAUAUGGAAUGAACAUGCCAUUGAACACGCCAUUGAACAUGUUCAAUUCACGUGGAAAUUAGAUGGGUGUGCUCAGGGCUUAGUGAGUUUCUGCCCAGCAUACAUUAAGUUUUCAAUCUUAAUUACAUUUUAAAUGAUGUAGUGACAGACCACCGAUUAAGAACAGGAACUAAUAUAUCCAAUUAGAGGUCAGCCAAAAGCUAAAGCAAUAAUUCUGUACAUUUUUUUCAAAAUAACCUUUAUUAGCUCCAGAUUUCUAUUUGUCUAUUAAAAAUUCUUACAUAACUUCUGGAGAUGCCCAAUUCUUCAAAAACUGAUGUUAAAUAAAAUAAAGCACCAGUUACAUACAAUUUGGCUCUUAAUUUAUUGGGAACAAACAUUAUCCAAAUUAGUGCACUGUUGCCGCAAAAGUUUCACAGCCUUACAUCUCUCUUACAGUAUCACUUAGGAAAAAUACUGCAAUUAUUAUUAUUUUUUGAGAUGGAGUCUCGCUCUGUCACCCAGGCUGCAGUGCAGUGGGGCGAUCUCUUCACCUUUUGCUCAGAAUAUUUUUAAAAACUAAGUACAGAUCAUAUUAAACAGGUAAGUGUAAAACAAUGUCUUCUAUAAAUUAAUAUUUUAAUAUAAACUUUAUAUUAUAAUCUUCAAUCAACUAAAUAAUUUUUAAAUUUCAACAUUACUUCUUUAUCAUACAGCAGUCAAAAAACACCAGAAAAAUUCUUGCAUCUGUGGGAAGGUAAGGGAAAAAGAGAUUACAUUAUAGUAAAAGAGGGUUAAAAGUAAAAAAACAGAAGUGGGGAAACACUAGGUAAGAAGCUAUAAAACCCCAAUUCAACAAGGAAGCACCCGGGUCAGCACUUGCGGAAUCACGUUCGAUGCUACUGAGAGAGAGAGUUGGGCAGGGGCGCACACAUGCACAAGAGAGAAGGUUCUGUUAGAACACCCGCGCUUCCCUGUGCCUACUGGGUUCCUCAGGAAAGGUUCUACAGAUCCUUACUUAUAGCCUCAAAUUCUUUGUAGGAGGAGGAAAACUACACAUAAAAAUUUAAAAUCCUAUCUAUAACAGUUUCAGAAAAAUAUUUCUAACACCUUCAGAAAGAGAAGGACUGACUCUGUUUUCCUAUGACUUGUUAUGAUAUGUAUAUGAAAAGAUCUUCCUCCGGCCAUGUUCCUUGGAUGGAACUCUAAUCCAAGUCCAACUGACGGGGAUCAACUUCUUAUAUCAUCUGACAUCAAGCACCCAAGCUGAGCAUGGACCACCACGCUCAUUCUCCUGGAAUGGCUGCCUUUAAACUUGUGAUUGGUAUGACUCUUAAGAGUCAAUAUGAAAACAAACCAAAUCAAACAUGCAUGUUGGAAAUUCACCAAGACUCUCCACGAGCCAUCCAGGGAAAAGAACGAUGAGGCUGAUUUCUAUACUUGGCUUGGCAUUAGAGACAAAUUAGUAAGUAAAAGGCAUUAAAGCCCAAAGGAGACACAGAAACUGAAAGUUCCACCUGCCUGAAGCUGUAAUUCCCAUUUCUGGCAUUUCCGGGCACAGCUUGUCAGUGCUCUGGAAUAAAUAUUGGAGUGCUGAAAGCACUUGGGUAAGGUGUGAGGUGUUAACACUGGGCACACAUGUAGAAUCCUUUUUCCAGCAAUGAGACAGAAGUUUCUGCUCUCUUUCAUGGGUUGCGGAGGCAACCGGCCAGCGCUGGGACUGCACCAUAGCACUAGAUAGCACUGGAUAGCACGUGUGAGCCAACACGGCCCCAGGGAAAGCCUUCAGAGAAGGGAAGGAGGCAGGGCACUCACCUCCAUCGCCUUCAUGCUGGUGACUUCCACCCCACACCUCUGGCCUCGUUCCACCAGUUCACUGCCGUAGGCAUCCAUGACAACUAUGAUUUUAAGGCCUGGUAUUAACUUAUUUUCUACACCCUCUAAUAAGAGUUUGGCCUUCUCUGGCUUGUCAACAAAAACCAGAGAGAGUUCAGCUGUAAAUGAAGAGAUACAAUGAAGAAUAAGCUCUGGGAUGUUAAAAGAUUCACUCUGUCAUAUCCAGCACAAGGAUACUUGAAGUACUACAUUCUUUGAAUAAAAAGGUAGAUAUAUAUUUACAUGUAAAAUCUUUGUCAAAUCAAAUGUAAGCAAAUGUAAAGUCACUGAACCUAACCAAUAACUAUGCCAAUAAUCCAGGCAAAGAUCACAGACGUACCUUUGUUGACUAUGUACGUGAUGGCUUCAUUUCCAAGGGUAUCAUAAAGUGGAACGAUCACCAUCGAAUAAGCAAAGCAUCCUUGUUCAAUAAUCACCCACUAAACAAACAGUAAAGGUCAGGGAGAGAAAACAGGAUGUCAUCAUGUAAUCAAUAAGGAGAACAAUACUCAAGAGAGAUUCAAAGUGAAAACAUUUGACGCAGCAAAAUUAACAUCUGUGUUAGCUACUACUCUGUGCCAGGUGCUAUAAGGGAUUCAGAAUGAGAACAAAACACAUGCCCCCUUCUUAAAAAGAAAUUAAGGCCAGGCACACUGACUCACACCAGUGAUCCCAGCACUUUGGGAGGCCAAGGUUGGGGGAAUCAGUUGAGCCCAGGAGUUCAAGACCAGCCUGGGAAACAUGGCAAAACCCUGCCUCUACAAAAGUUAUCUGGACAUGGUGGCACACACCAUGUCGCAGCUACUUGAGAGGCUGAGGCGGGAGGAUUGCUUGAACCCAGGAGGUUGAGGCUGCAGUGAGCUGUGAUCACACCAGUGCACUCCAGCCUGGGUGACAGAGUGAGAUCCUGUAUGUAUGUAUGUAUGCAUGUACAAAGAGAGGGAGGGAGGGAGGGAAGGAAGGAAAGAGAGAGAGAGAAAGAAAGAUGAGAGGACAGAGAGAGAAAGAGGAGAGAUUGAGAAAGAAAAGAAAAAAGGAAGGAAAGGAAAGGAGAGAAAGAGAGAAAGAAAGAUAAAUUAAAAUCCGCCUGAAGAAUUGAGGCAAAUAUGUUAAAAGAUAAUUAGCAAUAAUUAUCAGACAGGGACUGACCCAGAGAUAAGAAAGCCCACCAUCGGCCAAGGUAGCUACAGAUGCUACUGGGAGGGUGUAACUGAGAUUGCCUUUGGAAAGAGAAAGAAAGAGAGAGAGAGAGACAGAGACAGAGGGAGGCAGGGAGAUGCUAACAGAGGGGAUGGCAGGAUCAAAAGCAGGGGUAGUGAGAGCGAUCUGACUGGCACAGAUGGUUCUGGCUGGAGAGCACGGAGCAGCCACUGAGAGUUUCUCAGCAAAACAGCGGCUGUGGGGCUCAAGGAAGACCCCUCUGGCAGCAGGGCACUGUAUGCCCUGGAAUAGGGGAAGAAGUACCUUGUCUAGCAGCAAAACUGUUUUGAUAAAAUCCCUCUAGAAAAGUGCAGGAAAGAAGUGAGACAAUAACUGGCCACACUGCCACAUGCAAGAUGCAGUAAGAUGUGUCUGAAGGCACUGGCCACAUAGCCACUGCCCUACCUACUGGACAAAGGUGAAAGAUCACUCUUUCACUACCAUACCCAGGGGUACCCCACUGCCUCCGGCUGCACCUUUCUAAUGAAAUCAUCUGCAGAACUCUGACACACAGGACAGAAAAAGGCACAGCCGGGGGAAGGGGGCACAACCCACUCACAUCCACUUGGCCUGGAACUAGGCUUCUGAGUUUCGGUUUUUUCCCAGAAGGAAUUUUCAGCCAACAACAUAGAAAUCAGGUCCCAGCUCCUUAGGCACAUGUGACGCAUGAGGAAGGCUGUCUUUCCUGCCACUCCACCACAUGAAAAUGCUCCACUCCCAGACACAGGUGUGAACGUGGGCAUUCCCUUGGCCUCCCCGCCCCUAUUUCCUUCAAGAUUCUACUCAGGUGCCACCUCCAGGGAGCCCUCCUUGACUGAGCUCCCAUAAUCCUUCUGCCCUGCGCCCACACUUACCACUUGACAGAGAAAGCACCGGUGUUUAGGUCUGUCUUGCCUUACGUGGUACCUCAGGAAGAGAGGCCGAGUCACUGUGCUUUGGCACCCCAACACAGUGUCUGACAUAUAGUGGGUGCUCAGCAAACAUUUGUUGAAUGAACUCAUAAAUACAGGAAGGAACCUAUUUCUUAUUUGUUUUGCAGUUCUAGAUUCAUGAUAAAAUUCCAUCAAAACAAACAUUUUGAUGUGUUCAUUUGGGAUGAAAAAAACUAAAUUCUACAAGCCCAGUCACAGUCCAGCUGUGGAGAAUGCUGUUUUCCCCUUGAAAGACCACAAAACUCUAAGAAGCCAUCUUUAUUUAUAUAAAAAAAAAAAAGUCAGUAGCACAGGGAUUGAGUCAGCAUGUCUUCUGGACACAAGCAGGUAUAAGAAUAAAUUCGAUUUCUUCAAGCCAGAUGCUUCCAUUUUUCUAAGCCAGCUAGAUCUACUAAUCUAUUGAGUCAUACCAUAAGCAAUACUUCCAAAAGAGCUGCUCAUUUAAACUCAGUUUCUGAUAUGUUUUGGCUGUGUCCCCACCCAAAUCUCAACUUGAAUUGUAUCUCCCAGAAUUCCCACGUGUUGUGGGAGGGACCCUGGGGGAGGUAAUUGAAUCAUGGGGGCUGGUCUUUCCCAUGCUAUUUUUGUGAUAGUAAGUUUCAUGAGAUCUGAUGGGUUUAUCAGGGGUUUCUGCUUUUGCUUCUUCCGCAUUUUCUCUUGCCGCCACCAUGUAAGAAGUGCCUUUCACCUCCUGCCAUGAUUCUGAGGCCCCCCCAGCCAUGUGAAACUGCAAGUCCAAUUAAACCUCUUUUUGUUCCCAGUCUCAGGUAUGUCUUUAUCAGCAGCAUGAAAAUGGACUAACACACUUUUACACACUGGUUUACAGAAACCGUGCUGGGCUUAGACCACCAAUGACAGACUGCCCAAAGGAAGGCUGGCUAGCAGUGAGUACUGUCCCCAUCACCCAUGGUAUUUUAAACUCUAGAAACCAACCAGAGGGAAAGCCUCAUACCUUUCAGAAAGGAAAAAAAGGAACCUGCUAUUGACAAAAAUGUAUCUGAGUCUCUCUAUAACUUAUUAAUGCCAUUUUUCUAACCACAGAGGUGACUCUUAAAGUAAAAAGACUCCUUUGUUAGUUAUCUGUUCUAAGGAUUUUAUUUGGGAACCUGGUUUAAAAAAACUAAAAUAAUCCCCCCAAAAAAGUGAUUUCUUUUUUCUCUUAAAGGCGAUUAAAAGGCCCUGGUUCAGGUUUUCCUUUCUUUUUUUUUUUUUUUGAGACGGAGUUUCGCUCUUGUUG
RNAcentral lists this long non-coding RNA (11556 nucleotides) under Homo sapiens (human). RNAcentral describes it as "HSALNT0081967". Lineage: Eukaryota; Metazoa; Chordata; Mammalia; Primates; Hominidae. The record is from RNAcentral.